This 2125-nucleotide long non-coding RNA is filed under the name Parus major (Great Tit). RNAcentral describes it as "lncRNA (ENSPMJG00000006627.1)". Lineage: Eukaryota; Metazoa; Chordata; Aves; Passeriformes; Paridae. The record is from RNAcentral.
CUUUUUAACACUGUGAGUUUCCAUGCUUCUUGAUAAGUAUUACCCCUAUUCACAUGAUGGUAAAGGACCUAUUUUACUUUUAAGUGGUCACUAAAAACUAAUUGAAAGUAAACUAUAUUUUCUGGGACAUGUGUCUUGAUAAAAAACUAUUAUUAAUGUGAAAAUAAAGUAGCUGACUUUCAUACAAUGUAGGGAUACUAAUUUAAAUUUUAAAUCUGCUUAGUGUUGAGAAGAAUGUGUUUUGAAGCUACAGUUUCAUAAUUUGGAACUAGCUAGAGCAUCUGUUCUUUUGCAGAUAAAGGGCAAGUGAAGUCUGAAUCAAAACAACAUCAACCAUUAUUUUAUCUCUGUGUUGUUAUCAUUGUAUGUAUCCUCAUAACUUCUGUCUAAACUUUUGAAUAUUGAAACUGACUUGAUGAGAAAUAUUUUAUUCUUGCUUUAGGAUUUAAUUUGUUGCUUUCCAUUUAUUUGGCUUUCCUUCUUCUUCUUCCUGACCUUAGCCUUCUCUUGAAAAUGUAUAUUGUGAAACACAUAUUUAGUUAGAAGUCAUACUACAAAGAGGUACUUUUACAAAGUGCCAAUACUUCGGAAGAAAACCCUGUUAAUGCACUUAUUUUCCAUUCUUCUUCACUGCUUCCUUCCUCUCUGCAUUAAUUCUGUAAAUGGAAGUAUACAAAGGUCAUAGCAAGUCGUGUGUUUAAAAGCUUCUGCUUUAUGCAACCCAAGAAGUGCAGCACAGGCAAGAAGCACAUCCCCAUCACUGUAAUUUUUUAUCUUCUAAGGUUUCAUUUUCAUGCUAAAACAAAUAGCAAGGGUCAGCAGCUUCCAAACAGUUAUGCACCUCUCCAUGCCUCACUCUUUUCUCUUAAAUCUUCUACUUGGCUACAUCAGAGAGCAUCUCUUCAACUCAGUUCCUGGGGAAGAAUCCAGAACUGUGAGUUAGGUGGAAAGAUGUCUCCUCCCAUUCAGGAGAAAGGGUAAAGAUACCAGAAUGGGGCUGAAAAUGACAAAUUGAGUGAUGCAUCCAGCACAAGUCAAUGGGAAAUACUGAGAAUGGUGAGUUUUCUGAUUUCUUCCUAAUUAUUUUCAGGUCUGUGACUUCAGAUAGGGACUUAGCAGCAUAACCUUAUAAUGACUUCUGAUAACAAACCCAAAUAAUGGUUUUUACCAUGAACUCUGCAGUGCUUCUUAUUUAUUUUUUUACAGGAAAAGGAUGAUGCAUCACCUAUUUUCUGCAGUAAAGUUUAGUUACUAUGGACAUUCUGAAAAACAGAAGAAAAUUCAGUGAAAUCAGGUUACUACAAGUUCUUUGUAUUGCAUUUUGAAUAGUUUUCUUAAUCCUCUCAUCUGGAUCUAUCCUUAAGAAAGGUCACUAUUAUAACACUAUAUGUGUUUUAAAUUGUGCUUGUAUUGGUGAGAAGGUUGGAAUUAAACUAGGUAUCUACAACAUUUGACUGAAAUUUUCUUGCCUAUUUGAGUUGGAAAAUGUAAUCUGCAUUUAUUUGUUAAAUAAGCUAUGUUUAGCAUUAAUAAUCAGUAUAUUUCUGCAAUAUGUGAACUGUAGCCUGCAUCAGAAAGGCUGUGAAGAGAAAAGGAGGAAAGGUCAAACAGCUAUACUGAAGUUUGUAUAUUAUACUUCAGAGAGUGAGAUAAUAUUAAUGUGCAAGUAUUCAGACAAUAUAUCUGGGUUCUUAGAAGUGUGUCGCAUUUUUAUUAAUGUUCCCAUUUCAAAGCUUGGAUUUUCAUUGACAGCAUCUUAUGUAACCAUUAGGCAGGUGUUAAGAGGUCCACAUACUGUGAGACAGCAGGGGGAAAUGCCCUAAAAAUACCAGCAGUGAGCUAAACAUUCACUUUUCCCUGAUCUUUGUGUGCCCUCUCCCAUUCAGUUUCUGGCACAUAAAGUAAAAUGUAACCUGGAAGGAAGAAUGUGGUUUUGAAACAGGCAUUUUUCAGAAUGACUGAAACUUGCAAUUGCUCUCUUUGAAUAACAAUGAGCACAGACAAGAAGCAACACUGGGAUAAGUUUCCAUCUCUGGUAGCAGGACGAAGGGGGAAGCAAGUCUAAAUCAUAAGAUGAUGAAGGUAAGAAAGACAAUAAAUAAAAUCUAAUUAAUUUCUCUUAACA